GACCAAAGUGGGGGACCUUCGGGCCUCACGCCAUCGGAUGUGCCCAGAUGGGAUUAGCUAGUAGGUGGGGUAACGGCUCACCUAGGCGACGAUCCCUAGCUGGUCUGAGAGGAUGACCAGCCACACUGGAACUGAGACACGGUCCAGACUCCUACGGGAGGCAGCAGUGGGGAAUAUUGCACAAUGGGCGCAAGCCUGAUGCAGCCAUGCCGCGUGUAUGAAGAAGGCCUUCGGGUUGUAAAGUACUUUCAGCGGGGAGGAAGGCGAUGCGGUUAAUAACCGCGUCGAUUGACGUUACCCGCAGAAGAAGCACCGGCUAACUCCGUGCCAG
Molecule: ribosomal RNA, 331 nt
Filed under: Pantoea sp.
Lineage: Bacteria; Pseudomonadati; Pseudomonadota; Gammaproteobacteria; Enterobacterales; Erwiniaceae
Description: bacterial SSU rRNA
Rfam family: Bacterial small subunit ribosomal RNA
Source: RNAcentral